Molecule: ribosomal RNA, 1428 nt
Filed under: uncultured bacterium
Lineage: Bacteria
Description: partial 16S ribosomal RNA
Rfam family: Bacterial small subunit ribosomal RNA
Source: RNAcentral
CCUACCAUGGCAAGUCGAACGAAGUUAUAUUAUAGUUUACUAUAGUAUGCUUUAGUGGCAGACNGGUGAGUAAUAUAUAGGAAUCUACUUAAUAGUAUGGAAUGAUUGUUAGAAAUGACAGCUAAUACCAUAUACUCCUUACGAGGGAAAGAUUUAUCGCUAUUAGAUGAGCCUAUAUUGGAUUAGCUAGUUGGUAAGGUAAUGGCUUACCAAGGCAGUGAUCUAUAGCUGGUUUGAGAGGAUGAUCAGCCACACUGGAAUUGAGAUACGGUCCAGACUCCUACGGGAGGCAGCAGUGGGGAAUAUUGGGCAAUGGGCAAAAGCUUGACCCAGCUAUGCCGCGUGAGUGAUUAAGGUCUUCGGAUUGUAAAGCUCUUUUAGUAGGGAAGAUAAUGACGGUACCUACAGAAAAAGUCCUGGCUAACUCCGUGCCAGCAGCCGCGGUAAUACGGAGAGGGCUAACGUUGUUCGGAAUUACUGGGCGUAAAGGGUACGUAGGCGGUUUAGUAAGUUAGAGGUGAAAUCCUGAGGCUUAACCUCAGAAUUGCUUUUAAAACUGCUAUACUAGAGGUCGAAAGAGGAUAGUGGAAUUCCUAAUAUAGAGGUAAAAUUCAUAGACAUUAGGAGGAACACCAGUGGCGAAGGCGGCUAUCUGGUUCGAUUCUGACGCUGAUGUACGAAAGCGUGGGGAGCAAACAGGAUUAGAUACCCUGGUAGUCCACGCUGUAAAUGGUGAAUGCUAAAUGUAGGAAUUUUUAUUUCUGUGUUGUAGCUAACGCGUUAAGCAUUCCGCCUGGGGACUACGAUCGCAAGAUUAAAACUCAAAGGAAUUGACGGGGACCCGCACAAGCGGUGGAGCAUGUGGUUUAAUUCGAUGCUACGCGAAAAACCUUACCACUCCUUGACAUGGAGGCUAUCUCCUUCUUAACAGAAGGAUUCAGUUCGGCUGGGCCUCACACAGGUGUUGCAUGGCUGUCGUCAGCUCGUGUCGUGAGAUGUUGGGUUCAGUCCCAUAACGAGCGCAACCCUUAUCCUUUAUUACCAGCAGGUCAGGCUGGGUACUUUAAGGAAACUGCCAAUGAUAAAUUGGAGGAAGGAGAGGACGACGUCAAGUCAUCAUGGCCCUUAUGGGGUGGGCUACACACGUGCUACAAUGGCGAUUACAAUGGGCUGCAAAACUGCAAAGUUGAGCUAAUCCUUAAAAAUCGUCUCAGUUCGGAUUGCUCUCUGUAACUCGAGAGCAUGAAGUUGGAAUCGCUAGUAAUCGUGGAUCAGCACGCCACGGUGAAUACGUUCUCGGGUCUUGUACACACUGCCCGUCAAGCCAUGGAAGUUGGUUUUACUCGAAGCUAGUGUGCUAACCUUUUUAGGAAGCAGCUAUCUAAAGUAGGGCUGAUGACUGGGGUUAAGUCGUAACAAGGUAACCAA